Long non-coding RNA from Rhinopithecus roxellana (golden snub-nosed monkey), 212 nucleotides. RefSeq lists it as uncharacterized. NCBI's taxonomy places the organism in Eukaryota, Metazoa, Chordata, Mammalia, Primates, Cercopithecidae. The transcript has 3 exons. The record is from RefSeq and is a predicted model, not a curated record.
GGAAAGGAGUGAAUAAUUUUCAAAGAAGUGAAGGAUUUUUUUUUUUAAGUUCAUUUUGCAACUUGGAAUUUCUGCGGCCAUGAGGAAGUCUGUAAGUCCCAGAAAAGGAUGGCUAGAAGGCCUUGCUGUUAUUGGAUGUGCUGCUCUCCAAAAGAGAUGGGUGACUCACUCUUCCACCAAGGAACAAGGACAGACCUAACCCCUUAAUGAGG